CCUCACCUGACCUCAGCCGGGGGGAAAGAGUCACACUCACAGAGCAUGGAUGGUUCUGAGGCCUGCAGUCAACAGUCCAGAAAGUGUGCCUGCUAGAUUUAACUGACAGCUUCCUCUGACCAGUGUGUGGCUAUGGGGCCAACUGGAUGAGCAGUUCAGCAUCAGGAUCCCAGAGUGCUUUACAAGCUGCACAGAAUGAUCACUCACCCGUCACUGAAUUGCAGCUUCCUUUGGGUUAGCACACAGCUGCCAUUCUGGAAUGUGAUUGCUUGGAAUUAACAAUGGAUUGUUCAUUCUGCAAUGUCAGAGCGAAAAGUCACCGAGUGGAACAAGAACCUUUAUUGAUAAGAUUGCAAUAUCGCUGCUACCUGUAACAAAGAUGUCAAUCUUCAUUUGCUCCCUGCACAGGUCAUGCAGGUGAAUGAACUUCUUGUGUGUUCACAAGUUCUGAACGGAGGUUGUAGUACUUUGUUAAUUCUAUUCCAGGCAAUGUGGCUCCUACAGACUGAGAAUUUAUCACUUAGGAAGAUGACACAUGGAGUGGGGCAAAAACAUGUUGGAAACUUGUUUAAAAAAACAAAUAAAAGAUCACCCACAACCCACACACUAGUGGAAAAAAGGCAGAUUUGGCAACACAAACAUUUUGCAAAUCCAUAUUGGUUUUGAUGAAUUGUUCAUUUCAAAAACAAUCAAAAAUCGAAAUGUUUAAUGUUGACAUUUUCAAAA
This is a long non-coding RNA of Gopherus evgoodei (Goodes thornscrub tortoise), 726 nucleotides long. RefSeq lists it as uncharacterized. The record is from RefSeq and is a predicted model, not a curated record. The transcript is spliced from 3 exons. NCBI's taxonomy places the organism in Eukaryota, Metazoa, Chordata, Testudines, Testudinidae.